AAUUGGAAAUUGAUUGGCAACUAUAUGUUCCAUACGGGCCUCAGGCCAGUGGGCAAGUAGAAAAGAUGAACCAUCUGAUCAAACAACAGAUUAGUAAAAUAUGUCAGGAAAUGAAUUUCUAUUGGUACCAAGGUUUACCACUGGCUCUAUUAAGAAUUUGACCUAAACCUCGGUCAAAAGAAGAGAUUAGCCCUUUUGAAAUUUUACAUGGAAGACCAUAUCAGUCCCAGUUUAAAGGAGAAAGUCUUCAGGAAGUGGGAGAAGGCUAUCUCUGACAGUUUCUGAUCAAUCUGGGAAAACAAUUGGAGGAGAUAAAUGAGAGAAUAAUAGGGACAAGAGCAAGAGGUUUGGAUUAUCCAAUUCACCCUUUCAGAUCUGGAGACUGGGUUUAUGUUAAGAAUUUUUCAGGAGAUCCUCUACAGAAGUGGAACGGACCGUACCAGAUAUUACUGACCACCUUUACAGCAGUGAAGAUAAAGGAACAACCUGCUUGGAUACAUUAUUCAAGAAUAAAGAAAGCACCAGAGCCAGAGAAGACAUGGCGGAUCGAACCUUCAGGACCCUUACACAUGAAAUUGCAUCGGUCAUAAUUUGGACUCAUAUGAUAACUGGUGCACAAACUUGGGACCAGAAUUUAUACCUGAAAUUAGUGCAGAAUGUUGCUAAGGUUUUAAUCGUAGUGACUGUUGGGUGUGUGCACAGUUGCCUAAAUCAGGAGAAAUCCUGGAUCUCCCAUUAAUUGGAGUUCCAGUUCCUAACAUUAUCUCAUGGACAAAUUUGUGGGUGAACACUAGCAAUCUACGUCUGAGGGAAAGAUUAACAUUUGGAAUAGUUAAUCCUAAUCCAGGUAAUAAAUAUUAUACCCGAGCACAAAGAUGUAUUACACCAGGAACCAGGGUUGGAGAUCAUGCUUCUUUAAAUGCCACAGAUGUAGGUCACCAUUCAAAUUGCAAUCAUACUAUUAAUAUAGAUGGUAUCGUAGUUCAGUGGUGGCCCGUUCCUAAAAGGAAAGGAUGGUAUUGGUUAUGUGGAGAAAAUGCUUAUAAGACUCUACCCCCCAACUGGAAGGGGGCAUGCACUUUAGGUGCUGUAAUACCCAAUUUUACUAUUAUCAACAGGUAUCCUUCCGGGACCUGGAUUAGAAGUUUUGCUAAACAAAUUAAGCAAGGGUUUAACCCUAUUAUUGAAUGGCACACCACAUUUCAUAGUUUUGUAAGAGGGCUAAUUCCAUCUUUGGGAGUAAGUGAAUUAGAGAAGGCAAUCGUAAAUAUCUCAGCAACCAUAGAGGAAAUGGAAACCUAUUUAAGGUGAUAUUACAAAACCAAAUGGCUCUAGACAUGUUACUGGCAUCACAAAGAGGGGUUUGUUCCAUAAUCAAUGAAAGUUGUUGUUCCUAUAUAGACCAAAGUGACAGAAUUGAAACAGAUCCUGAGGAAAUUUGGAAACAAACUAAGAUAUUUCAUGAAAUGGCCAUGGAUGACAUCUCCUGGGGUUUUGAAGAAAUACGGAAAAAGUUGACUUCAUAGUUACUUAAUCUCUCCUGGUUGAGGCAACUGGUUGCAGGAAUAUUGAUGUUAAUUGUUUUAAUAUUGAUUACUUGUAGUAUGAUACAAUGUUCCCUCUGGUGUUGUAAAUGGUCUAUGAUAAAUUAUGAAGACUGGAAGAGAAAUGAAAUCAAGCAUCAAGUAGAAAUGGGAAAUGAUUUCAAAAAUACUUUAGACAGCAAUGGUAGCAUAUAAAGUGUUGCAAAAGAAUUUGCAAAAGGAC
Molecule: long non-coding RNA, 1767 nt
Organism: Pezoporus flaviventris
Lineage: Eukaryota; Metazoa; Chordata; Aves; Psittaciformes; Psittacidae
Exons: 2
Source: RefSeq, a predicted model, not a curated record